This 548-nucleotide ribosomal RNA is filed under the name uncultured bacterium. RNAcentral describes it as "partial 16S ribosomal RNA". It matches the Rfam family "Bacterial small subunit ribosomal RNA", at positions 355 to 893 of the family's 1533-position model. The record is from RNAcentral.
UGGGGAAUUUUGGACAAUGGGCGAAAGCCUGAUCCAGCAAUGCCGCGUGUGUGAAGAAGGCCUUCGGGUUGUAAAGCACUUUUGUCCGGAAAGAAAUCCUUGGCUCUAAUACAGUCGGGGGAUGACGGUACCGGAAGAAUAAGCACCGGCUAACUACGUGCCAGCAGCCGCGGUAAUACGUAGGGUGCAAGCGUUAAUCGGAAUUACUGGGCGUAAAGCGUGCGCAGGCGGUUUGCUAAGACCGAUGUGAAAUCCCCGGGCUCAACCUGGGAACUGCAUUGGUGACUGGCAGGCUAGAGUAUGGCAGAGGGGGGUAGAAUUCCACGUGUAGCAGUGAAAUGCGUAGAGAUGUGGAGGAAUACCGAUGGCGAAGGCAGCCCCCUGGGCCAAUACUGACGCUCAUGCACGAAAGCGUGGGGGAGCAAAACAGGAUUAGAUACCCUGGUAGUCCACGCCCUAAACGAUGUCAACUAGUUGUUGGGGAUUCAUUUCCUUAGUAACGUAGCUAACGCGUGAAGUUGACCGCCUGGGGGAGUACGGUCGCAAGA